This 1996-nucleotide long non-coding RNA is filed under the name Gallus gallus (chicken). RNAcentral's name for it is "lncRNA (ENSGALG00010023619.1)". Lineage: Eukaryota; Metazoa; Chordata; Aves; Galliformes; Phasianidae. The record is from RNAcentral.
CAUUCCUGUGUGCUUUUGCUAGGCGUGUGAAGUUUGUGGGGUCUCAGCUCUUGGGAAAGGCAUUUAGAAGGAUAAGCGCUUGUGCCUGACUUCUCCAAGGCCCGUGUGUCGAGGUAGUCUGAAGAGCUUAUGCUGUGAGCAAUGAGCUUUACAAGGUGAUAUCUGAAACCUUCCUCUUUCCUUAGUUUCACUGCUUCUGCUACUGUUUUUUUGCAGUGUCAAGUACACGAGACCAUACGAACCCCUGAGGAACAGACAUAUCACAUCAAGUUUGAAAGACCUCUUAGCCCUGGAUGGCUUAUUUUUGCUGUUAUUUCUUCUUAAACAAGGAGUCCUUGUGGUUUGUCAUGCAGCCACAUAGGUUUGGGGGAAGGGAUUUAUCUGCUCAGUACAGUAACCAAUGUUGAUGUGGAAGGGAAAUGACUAUGGCCAUAAUUACUUCCAGUGAGUGUAGAAACUGGAGAAGGUUAGAGCCUCCUUGUGCACUGUGCACCUAGGGAUCAGUGUUCAAUAUGAAUGACAGAAGAACAAAGGUCAGACUUCUGGAACCACUCACAGUCAAACACAGUUGCCAAGCUCCCUUGAAUUUUAUUUGUUACUUGUUAAAACAACAAAAUUAAAAAAAAAAAAGAAACCCUUUCUUCUCAUUAUAGAUGGAGGAACACAGAUGCACAGCCCAGGUCUCCAGCUAAAAGAGACAGUGAAAGGGAGUCCGUACUGGUGUUCAGAAGGAAAGAUACUUUAUAAGGACUGGUAUGCAUGGUGGAAGCUCUCUUCUGACUGUGCACCCCCACAGAACACACAAGGAAGCAACAGAAGGGUUUUUUGGCUGUUUUCGGCUUCCUAGCUGCAAACAGUACUCCUUGCUCAGCCAUUCUGGUUGUUAGUGGUAGAAGGUAGCCAGAGUGGUACCAGGCAGAACAUGGGCAUAGUGAAAUGACUGGGCAUGUGGCAGUGAAAAACACCCAGCUUAGGGUGAGAUAUAAAUCUUUGCUCUUCAGCAAUAAACUCACUACUGAUUCAAGACCUCUCUUUUUUGCAUUCCCUCUACCAGAGGGAUGCACCAUCAACUUUCAGCUCAGACAGUCCAAUUCAGUAAUUGCUCUAACUGUUCCUGUGUGUUCCAGUGACAGCCUCCUGCUCAAGAGAAAGCCUGGGUUACAAAAGCAGGAAGUCUUAUCCUCUGGUCUAGUUCAAAGCAUUUAUCAUCCAUGGGAGUAGGUAAAGAAAACCCUUGUCAGGAAAGCAGGCCCAAGAACUAAAUCCCACAUCAGAAAACAGCCCUUCCUCAUGGUACAUCUGCUUGCACUAAGGAGGCAGAGUAAUAGCACACUGAGACACAGUUCAAGUCAAGGCAGUAGGAGAGUAGUUUUGCAUCUCUGUCAACUCCAUUUUCUAUCCUGCAUUAUCCAGCUGCUGAACUUCUAUCACAGCACAACUGGAUUAUAAACUGUAAAUUUAUUAAUAAUUACAGUUUUUAUUAUUAAUUUACAGUUUAUAUUAAUAUAUUAAUAAUAACAGUUAUUAACAGUGUAGUUAAUAACGGCAGACUCCCACAUGAGGAUACAAUAUACUGCAUACAAACAUUGAACACAAAGGCGUAACCCCAGCAAAGUACCACAUCUUCUGUUAUAAAGGGAAACAGGACAACAUAUUUGGCAUUUUUGCUGGCGUUCGGUCUCAGUUUGGGAGGAAGGUUCACAUACUCAACUUACUGCAAUUCAACACAAAGGAUUUCACCGAGAAGCCCUCUCCUGAGUUACCUACUGAAAAACCCGAUACAGUUCUUAGUGGACUCUUCUUAAAGGAAAGCAGAAGCCCUCUCCUGAGUUACCUACUGAAAAACCCGAUACAGUUCUUAGUGGACUCUUCUUAAAGGAAAGCAGAAGGUCACUGUAAGACAGCCAACACUGCUCCUCCCUCAGGACAGCACACCCAUCUUCAAGCCAGGGAAGCCGUACCGCAUUCGAGAAAGGCUGCCGUGCAGAAAUUCAGC